CAGCCGCCACGGUAAUACGGAGGGUGCAAGCGUUAUCCGGAUUUAUUGGGUUUAAAGGGUCCGUAGGCGGACUUAUAAGUCAGUGGUGAAAGCCUGUCGCUUAACGAUAGAACUGCCAUUGAUACUGUAAGUCUUGAGUAUAUUUGAGGUAGCUGGAAUAAGUAGUGUAGCGGUGAAAUGCAUAGAUAUUACUUAGAACACCAAUUGCGAAGGCAGGUUACCAAGAUAUAACUGACGCUGAGGGACGAAAGCAUGGGGAGCAAACAGGAUUAGAUACCCCCGUAGUCCCUGUCUCUUAUAC
RNAcentral lists this ribosomal RNA (301 nucleotides) under uncultured bacterium. Its description in RNAcentral is "partial 16S ribosomal RNA". It matches the Rfam family "Bacterial small subunit ribosomal RNA", at positions 509 to 807 of the family's 1533-position model. The record is from RNAcentral.